This 424-nucleotide ribosomal RNA is filed under the name Reticulitermes n. sp. CA2. RNAcentral's name for it is "partial 16S ribosomal RNA". It matches the Rfam family "Bacterial large subunit ribosomal RNA", at positions 1797 to 2485 of the family's 2925-position model. Lineage: Eukaryota; Metazoa; Arthropoda; Insecta; Blattodea; Rhinotermitidae. The record is from RNAcentral.
CGCCUGUUUAUCAAAAACAUCUUUUCUCGUUAGUUUUUGAAGUAUGGCCUGCCCGCUGACUUUGGUGUUGAAGGGCCGCGGUAUUUUGACCGUGCAAAGGUAGCAUAGUCAUUAGUUCUUUAAUUGUGAUCUGGUAUGAAUGGCUUGACGAGACAUGGGCUGUCUUAAUUUUGAAUUGUUUAUUGAAUUUGGUCUUUGAGUUAAAAUUCUUAGAUGUUUUUAUGGGACGAGAAGACCCUAUAGAGUUUAACAUUUAUUUUGGCCUUUUUCUGUUUGUGAGGGUUUACUAGGCCAUUUAGUAUGUUUUGUUGGGGUGAUGGGAGGGAUUUAUUUAACCCCUCCUAUUGGUGUUAUAUUUAUUUAUAUUUGCUUGAUCCAUUUAUUUUGAUUAUAAGAUUAAAUUACCUUAGGGAUAACAGCGUAA